Molecule: non-coding RNA, 648 nt
Organism: Cherax quadricarinatus
Lineage: Eukaryota; Metazoa; Arthropoda; Malacostraca; Decapoda; Parastacidae
Source: RefSeq, a predicted model, not a curated record
GUUGUGGUGGUGGGUGUGUGUCUCUCUCGAGCACCCAUGAUAUUUCAGUGUACUUGAUUAAUUGUGGUUGCAGGGGUCGAGUCACAGCUCCUGGCCUGCUGGUGGUGUGUUGAACAUAGCUGUUGAAGUUGGUGGUGAUUAGUGGUGGUGACCAGUGGUAGUGUAACCAGUGGUGGUGUGACCAGUGGUGGUGUGACCAGUGGUAGUGUGACCAGUGGUGGUGUGACCAGUGGUAGUGUGACCAGUGGUAGUGUGACCAGUGGCACUGUGACCAGUGUUACUCCUUUUGGUCCUCCCUAGGUGUAAAACACCUUUGAAGCACAUGAGAUCAGCAGCUGUCUGCUGGAAGGUGCCUGUCUGCUGGAAGGUGCCUGUCUGCUGGAAGGUGCCUGUCUGCUGGAAGGUGCCUGUCUGCUGACGUCCAUAUAUUACGACCUUCAACUUCCUUCUAUUUUGCCUAUUGGCACUCACCUCUCUGCUGCACAUGACGGGUGCCAAGCAACACCUGCAACACUCCUGGCACCUGCAACACUCUUGGCACCCUUGUAUACCUCUUCAUGUGUGACCCAACAAGAAUACUUAAAUCAUUCUCAAAAUUUGAUUGUAUGGCGGCACCAGGGGAAAGUCGCAUUCCCAACGUGCGACUUU